AUUGAACGCUGGUGGCAGGCCUAACACAUGCAAGUCGAGCGGAGCGGCGGACGGGUGAGUAAUGCCUAGGAAUCUGCCUGGUAGUGGGGGAUAACGUCCGGAAACUGUAGCUAAUACCGCGUACCAUAGGAUGAGCCCAAGUGGGAUUAGGAAGUUGGUGAGGUAAAGGCUCACCAAGCCGACGAUCUCUAGCUGGUCUGAGAGGAUGACCAGCCACACUGGGACUGAGAAACGGCCCAGACUCCUACGGGGGGCAGCAGUGGGGAAUAUUGCGCAAUGGGGGCAACCCUGACGCAGCCAUGCCGCGUGAAUGAAGAAGGCCUUCGGGUUGUAAAGCACUUUAAGUUGGGAGGCGUUACCAACAGAAUAAGCACCGGCUAACUUCGUGCCAGCAGCCGCGGUAAUUC
Molecule: ribosomal RNA, 407 nt
Filed under: uncultured bacterium
Lineage: Bacteria
Description: partial 16S ribosomal RNA
Rfam family: Bacterial small subunit ribosomal RNA
Source: RNAcentral